AACGAACGCUGGCGGCAUGCCUAACACAUGCAAGUCGAACGGUAACGCGGGGCAACCUGGCGACGAGUGGCGAACGGGUGAGUAAUGCAUCGGAACGUGCCCAGUAGUGGGGGAUAGCCCGGCGAAAGCCGGAUUAAUACCGCAUACGACCUACGGGUGAAAGGGGGGGAUCGCAAGACCUCUCGCUAUUGGAGCGGCCGAUGUCAGAUUAGCUAGUUGGUGGGGUAAAGGCCUACCAAGGCGACGAUCUGUAGCUGGUCUGAGAGGACGACCAGCCACACUGGGACUGAGACACGGCCCAGACUCCUACGGGAGGCAGCAGUGGGGAAUUUUGGACAAUGGGCGCAAGCCUGAUCCAGCCAUGCCGCGUGUGGGAAGAAGGCCUCGGUUGUAA
RNAcentral lists this ribosomal RNA (394 nucleotides) under uncultured bacterium. RNAcentral's name for it is "bacterial SSU rRNA". It matches the Rfam family "Bacterial small subunit ribosomal RNA", at positions 29 to 428 of the family's 1533-position model. The record is from RNAcentral.